Molecule: small nuclear RNA, 191 nt
Organism: Hemicordylus capensis (graceful crag lizard)
Lineage: Eukaryota; Metazoa; Chordata; Lepidosauria; Squamata; Cordylidae
Product: U2 spliceosomal RNA
Exons: 1
Source: RefSeq, a predicted model, not a curated record
GUCGCUUUUCGGCCUUAUGGCUAAGAUCAUAGAUAGUAUCUGUUCUUAUCAGUUUAAUCCCUGAUAUGUUCUCUAUUUGAGGACUAAAUAUUAAUUAUAUUUUUAGAAUUGGGAUGUGAAAAGGGAGCUUGCUUCAUUCACUCCAAGCAUCAGUCUGCUAUUGCAGUGUUUCCAGGGAUGGUGCCCCUCCC